This 172-nucleotide small RNA is filed under the name Olea europaea subsp. europaea. Its description in RNAcentral is "Early nodulin 40". It matches the Rfam family "Early nodulin 40". The record is from Rfam by way of RNAcentral. Lineage: Eukaryota; Viridiplantae; Streptophyta; Magnoliopsida; Lamiales; Oleaceae.
AUGUAUUGGAAUGAAGCAUUUCAUGGAUCUUGAUAAAGCACAGCAGUUGGAAUGGUUUCGAGUUCAAAUUGUUUGCCUGUAAUUGGCCAUAACCUUGAGAAAUUUAAGGUUACAGCCAGUUUACAGCAAACCGGCAAGUCACAGAACGGCAGUGGGCUCUGUUAAGAGUCUU